RNAcentral lists this long non-coding RNA (957 nucleotides) under Aquila chrysaetos chrysaetos. RNAcentral's name for it is "lncRNA (ENSACCG00020005675.1)". The record is from RNAcentral. Lineage: Eukaryota; Metazoa; Chordata; Aves; Accipitriformes; Accipitridae.
CCUCGGGUGCCCCUGAUUCCGAGGUAGGGGGUUGGGACACCCUGGACGUGGGGUUGGGACACCCUGGACAUGGGGGUUCCCGUGGGGGUCGGUGCCAGCAGGACGCUCGGUGGCCUUGCGCACCCCACUCCCCAGCAGUGACACCGUGGGAGGGGGCAGUAGGGUGAGGGGUGUCCCCCCCACCAUGGCUCGCUGCAGCCAGGCAUUUCCCAGCAAGUCACCGUGCGCAGUGUCCCCUCGGAGCCGCGCAGACAUCCCCUCCCCAAAUUCAUCGAGGAGCUUCUCCGAUCCGCUCCCACCUCCUCUUCCUCAGCCCAGCACUGGGGCUUUGCUGGGGGGCACAGGAAGGGGCUGGGGUAGGGAGAGGCUGCAUCACGACCCCCCCCCCCCAUGGGGUUGGCAGCACGAAGCCUGACGGGGGGCACCCCGCUUUCCCGCAGCGGCCGCUGUACCCCACUCUGCAGACCCUGAGCCCCGUGCUCACCCCGGGCAGCUCCGGCGUCCCAAGCCACGGCCUCACCGGCUUCCCCUUCCUCGCCCCAGCCCAAGCAGAGUUUGGGGCUGGCGAGACCCCGCUGCCCCCCGGCUUCCUGCAGCCCGGCCCCACGGCGUGGCAGCACCCACGGGACAUGGCAGCGCUGGGGGUCAGCAGCCGGAUGGUGUCCACCGAAGAGCCGGCCCCAGCCCCCAGCACCUCCCCGCAGCACCAAGCCAUCAGCAUCAAGUCGGAGCGGGUCUCCCCGGGGCUGGGCUGUCCCUCGGGCACCCCCCAGCCCCCCUUGGCCAGCCUGGCCUCCCUGAGCGAAGCAUCCCGAGGCUCCGGAGACCUCCAGCCACGGGAUGACUAUGCCAAGGGGUACCCCUACCCCCUGGGCCCCCCCCGGCCGCUGGCGGAGGAGCAGCGGGCCCCCAUCCCCACACGGCGGGCGCAGGCCAUGGACGCUUGGCAGAGAUAGC